AGUCUCGUCCAGAUCAUCAUGGCAUUUUUAGUUCUUUAUGAUAGCCACAUUAGCAGCUAAUUAGCAUUUCAUUUUUAGGAGAUGAAUGCAGGCGAAUAUAUUGAUACAGUGCUUUCGGAAAGUAUUCAGACAGCUUGACUUUUACCACAAUUUUUAAUGUUAAUAGUCUUAUUCUAAAAUGGUUUAAAUUAAAAAUUAAAAAAUCUCAGCAAUCUACACACAAUAACCCAUAAUGGCAAAGUGGAACCGGGUUCUUAGACAUUUUUGCAAGUGACCCUGUCCUAGAGGGAUAAACAUGAGGGAGGGAUAAACACGGUUCUCAAAACAUCACGCCAGGGUUACCUUCAGACAAGUCCCGCAAAACAAUGAACACCUUCAUUUUGGUGAGAAGACCGAUUUUCGGAAUGUUCUAAUAACUGCUGUAGCUCGGUCACUUUCCACCACAGGUGCGGAAGGCCGACCUAGGCGGAUGCGGUGGACCAUAUAGCUCUUAGUUAAACGAACUGAUUUUGAUGGAGAUUUUAUUAUGCUACUUGGAUUGAAGAACGGGUUUGAAAGCCCGAGCUGACUAGGUGAAAUACAUCUGUUCCCUUGAGCAAGGCACUUAACCCCAGUCACUAAACCAAGUUUACUAAUUUACUAAAAUGUAUAGUUGUAUUUCAAUAGCCACAACCAUAGAAGCCAUCAGUCCCGAGAAACCAUCAGCAUCGCCACACUGGAAAUGUUUUCUCUUAAUCAAUUUUUACUGCCCUCCCGAGUUGCCAAAUCUCCACUUCACUUUGCGCGUCAAUUCAUGCACCUGGUUGGAGUGAACGCUUCGAAAAUGUUACGUGUUUGGAGUGCAAUCGGAACACGUUUAGUAAAGGGCGUGGAAGCUACUGAAGAAAGUGAGAUAAUUGAAAAAGGUUAUUGUCCAGCUGAAAAGCACAUUAAUCUCCUAGUGUCUGGUGGAAAGCAGACUGAACAA
Molecule: long non-coding RNA, 967 nt
Organism: Oncorhynchus gorbuscha (pink salmon)
Lineage: Eukaryota; Metazoa; Chordata; Actinopteri; Salmoniformes; Salmonidae
Exons: 4
Source: RefSeq, a predicted model, not a curated record